This 305-nucleotide ribosomal RNA is filed under the name uncultured bacterium. Its description in RNAcentral is "bacterial SSU rRNA". It matches the Rfam family "Bacterial small subunit ribosomal RNA", at positions 335 to 657 of the family's 1533-position model. The record is from RNAcentral.
UUUCCUACGGGAGGCAGCAGUGGGGAAUAUUGCACAAUGGGGGGAACCCUGAUGCAGCGACGCCGCGUGGGUGAAGAAGUCAUUCGUGACGUAAAGCCCUAUCAGCAGGGAAGAAAAUGACGGUACCUGACUAAGAAGCCCCGGCUAACUACGUGCCAGCAGCCGCGGUAAUACGUAGGGGGCAAGCGUUAUCCGGAAUUACUGGGUGUAAAGGGAGCGCAGACGGCAGUGCAAGUCUGGAGUGAAAGCCCGUGGCUUAACCACGGGACUGCUCUGGAAACUGUGCAGCUAGAGUGCAGGAGAGG